UGCCCCCUCGUCUAAUGGCAAGACACGCGGCUCUGGACCGUGGAAUCGGGGUUCGAAUCCCUGGGGGGCAA
Molecule: transfer RNA, 71 nt
Filed under: Candidatus Latescibacterota bacterium
Lineage: Bacteria; Pseudomonadati; Candidatus Latescibacterota
Description: tRNA-Gln
Rfam family: tRNA
About the family: Transfer RNA (tRNA) molecules are approximately 80 nucleotides in length. Their secondary structure includes four short double-helical elements and three loops (D, anti-codon, and T loops).
Source: RNAcentral